AACGCACUGGAGGUGGUGUGAUGGAACGUGAGAGGGCUAAAUAGCCCUGCCAAGAAGAAGGCGCUAAGGAAGUUCGUAGACACAGUGCAUGUCGUGAUAAUUUGUAUCUUAGAAACUAAACUAGUGGUCUUAAACCAGUACACUAUAAUGCAAUGUCUUGGGCCAUCCUAUGAUGCCUUUGCUUAUCUCCGGGCUUCGGAUACUAGAGGAGGCAUCUUCGUGGGUUGGGAUUCCAUGAAAGUCAACUUGUCAAACUUUGGUAAUUACACUAACUCCAUAACCGGAUAUGUCUUGCCAAAGGAGGGAGCUGUGUGGUGGCUCACGGUUGUGUAUGGGCCAUAA
Molecule: ribosomal RNA, 342 nt
Filed under: Triticum aestivum (bread wheat)
Lineage: Eukaryota; Viridiplantae; Streptophyta; Magnoliopsida; Poales; Poaceae
Description: partial small subunit ribosomal RNA
Source: RNAcentral